GACCGCAUAGCUCAGUUGGAAGAGCAUUGGGCUAGUAUUCCAAAGGUCGUAGGUUCGAAUCCCACCGUGACCG
This 73-nucleotide transfer RNA is filed under the name Paramuricea clavata. It matches the Rfam family "tRNA". From Rfam's summary of the family: Transfer RNA (tRNA) molecules are approximately 80 nucleotides in length. Their secondary structure includes four short double-helical elements and three loops (D, anti-codon, and T loops). Further hydrogen bonds mediate the characteristic L-shaped molecular structure. tRNAs have two regions of fundamental functional importance: the anti-codon, which is responsible for specific mRNA codon recognition, and the 3' end, to which the tRNAs corresponding amino acid is attached (by aminoacyl-tRNA synthetases). tRNAs cope with the degeneracy of the genetic code in two manners: having more than one tRNA (with a specific anti-codon) for a particular amino acid; and 'wobble' base-pairing, i.e. permitting non-standard base-pairing at the 3rd anti-codon position. The record is from Rfam by way of RNAcentral. Lineage: Eukaryota; Metazoa; Cnidaria; Anthozoa; Malacalcyonacea; Plexauridae.